RNAcentral lists this ribosomal RNA (253 nucleotides) under uncultured bacterium. Its description in RNAcentral is "partial 16S ribosomal RNA". It matches the Rfam family "Bacterial small subunit ribosomal RNA", at positions 524 to 776 of the family's 1533-position model. The record is from RNAcentral.
UACGUAGGGGGCAAGCGUUGUCCGGAAUCAUUGGGCGUAAAGAGCGUGUAGGCGGCCCGAUAAGUCCGCCGUGAAAGUCCAGGGCUCAACCCUGGAAUGCCGGUGGAAACUGUCGGGCUGGAGUCCGGAAGAGGCGAGUGGAAUUCCUGGUGUAGCGGUGAAAUGCGCAGAUAUCAGGAGGAACACCGAUGGCGAAGGCAGCUCGCUGGAACGGUACUGACGCUGAGGCGCGAAAGCGUGGGGAGCAAACAGG